GCUCAGAUUGAACGCUGGCGGCAUGCCUUACACAUGCAAGUCGAACGGCAGCAUGGAGAGCUUGCUCUCUGAUGGCGAGUGGCGAACGGGUGAGUAAUACAUCGGAACGUGUCCGUUUGUGGGGGACAACCGUCCGAAAGGAUGGCUAAUACCGCAUAAGACCUGAGGGUGAAAGCCGGGGACCGCAAGGCCCGGCGCAGACGGAGCGGCCGAUGAUUGAUUAGCUAGUUGGGGAGGUAAAGGCUCACCAAGGCGACGAUCAAUAGCUGGUCUGAGAGGACGACCAGCCACACUGGAACUGAGACACGGUCCAGACUCCUACGGGAGGCAGCAGUA
RNAcentral lists this ribosomal RNA (336 nucleotides) under uncultured bacterium. Its description in RNAcentral is "bacterial SSU rRNA". It matches the Rfam family "Bacterial small subunit ribosomal RNA", at positions 22 to 356 of the family's 1533-position model. The record is from RNAcentral.